GAAAUUUCGCGACUCUAGUAGCUCUAAGGUAAAGCUAAUCGGCACUGAGGUAAAGCUAAUUGGUAACUUGUUCUUUAGUAAAGCAUACCACAUUGUACCAGAACUCGGUUGGCUCAAGCCUUUGGCACAAUCCAUAUAGGGGUCAGGAUGGGUAUUUUGGCCUGAAUAGUUUAAAGAAACAGACGUUCCAGGAGAUUAAGGAGAAAAUAGCUAGAGAACUUAAUUACCGCAAGGGGGAAAGGAGAUUUUUAUCAACGCUAUACCCAUAGCUAUCACCAUAUACCAAGUUAUCAAAGAGUUUGUGCAAGGAAAUCAGUAGCACGGUAGCUAAUUUCUGGUGGGGAAAAUAAAAUAAUGAAAGAAGGAUGCAUUGGGCUUCCUACGACAUUUUGUGUGACCAGAGGAGUAUAGGGGGACCGGGUUUUUGACGCAUCGAACCCUUCGAUUUCACUUUGUUAGCAAAGCAGGGAUGGAACUUUGCAACUCCUAACACGAUUUUUCGAAGGAAAAAUUUUACCUUUUAUUCGUUCAUGAAUGCACAACUUGGACAUAACCUUCGUGGGCUCGGCACAGCAUCAGCCAUCAGGUAAGGAAGGAAAUUGUAACAAUAUGGCUUGAGAUGACAGAUCAAUGCUCUGGAGAGAGGAACCUUGGUUAGCUUCUGUCCUUCCCAUCAGGUUCACAGUUCGACAGGAGCCGCCAGAAGUGUUGGCCUAUACUUUUACAGGUCUGAAUGGAUUAUGUCUUCUCACAAUUGAUGCAGCCUCGCCCUCAGGACUAUCCCCCAGCUCAUUAUAUGUACCAUCCGAAGUGUUAGCUUAGUAAAAUCACAGCCUUUGACUAAAGUACACAUUCAUAAAAUAUCUCGACUGAUUGAAGCCACUUAAAAUCAAAACAGGAAAAAGGACAAUGACAAUGCCUAUUGGAUAGAGGAAAAAAGUUGUCCUCUCCAAAAAGGGUAACACUGCAGUACAAGCAUGCUAUCAGUAAAUUAAUCAAUAAAGGAGAUAAAGUGACCGUAUUUUUACAGCAAAAGUUUCACCAGCCACCUUAAGUUUGGAACUAUACCAAAGUAAAACUUUAUUAAACAGGUUUAUUAAUGACACUUUCAAUACUAGUUUUCUUUCCCAACUGAAGGGGGAAAACAGUACUCUAGAAAUUGGAGGAGAAAACAUUUUUUGUUCCACAAAAGAAGUAUAUUUCAAAACUGACCCGGAAAUCCAAACAAAAAGAACAGAGAAUCAACAAUCGGAGAUUCAGCCAGGAUUAAAUACUUUAAAAUUUUUCCCUUUUUUCCCAUAUGAUAGAAAACACAGAUAUAUACAUUUAUCUUUUCAAAAAUACAUAGCAAUUCAGAUAUAUUAAGUUCAUAGGAGAGGAUUGGGAAAAAAAACAUGUAGAUGAUGUAUCAUCAACUCGUCCUCUCUUCUUUUGAAAUUUCUUUCAAUCCAUUUUUUCUUGACAAAUUGCUUUAGAGGUUUAGUACAAUAAAUUUUGAUGGGAAUACAUGAUUCACACAAAAUUAUUAUGUGAAAAAAAUAAUGGAUAUACGAUUAGAUCUUUUUUAACACAAAAAUUAUUUCUGCUUAUAAAAGUUGAAAAGUUGGAAAAAAACUCUUUUUCACUUGAUAAGAAUUUUCUUUUGAAACCUUUCAUGAUUUUAUGGAGAAAUGAAUAAAAGUUGAAAAUAGAAAAUACAAAUGGGGGCUAGGGCUACAGUUAUACUAGUUUAUAAAAUUCAAGGUUGAUAUUGUAAUGUUAAAGUAUAGAGUUCAAUUUGUAAUGACCUCUAAAGUUUAGGGUGUUAAAUAAAGCUAUCCCCAAGUUUUUUUUUACCAUCUCACCAUUUUGGCUAAGAUAUUUCUAGUCUACUUCAAAAAUACAAUUCAACUUACCAUCAUAACCUAAAAAGUUGAGAUAAUAAUAGUAGGAGGCCGCCACCAUGAAAAGCAUAUUUGACAGCAAUGUAGGUAUCAAACCAUGGGCUACCAAAAGAGGAGAUAGAAAAUAAUGUAUAACGUAAAGCAUAACAAACAAUGGGAAGAAAGAAUUGCAGUGCACAUCAAAUGCAUAAAGCCUUCAACAAAAGAAGAGGAAAACAUAAAAUAGAAGUCAGCAAUCUGCAGUAAAUAAUAAAACAUUCAAGAUUAAAAAAAAAAAAUCACAUGCAGAAAAUAUACAUGAAAUAUAGAUAUACAAGAAUCUAUGAUAACGCAUAAAUAAGACUAUCUAUGCACACAGUUACUGAAAAUAUAUUUCAAAGAAGGUGGGAAUCUAGACUUGCCAUUCAACCCGUUGCUCAACCACAUGACUAUUUGGAGCCUCCUCUCUAAGGUAUGCAUUAGUUAGGAACCAACAACAUGUAGCCAAAACAACUCCACUAACUAAAAAAUGGAAAAUCAACACAGAGAUAACUACAAAAACAGCAUGUGCAGCACUGUGGUCGUACGCAGCACAAUAAGCCAAGGUGGAAACUGCCAAAAGGAGACUGCAUAUUACAAUAAAAGCUGGGUCAUCACGUGCCCA
This 2526-nucleotide unclassified non-coding RNA is filed under the name Hevea brasiliensis (rubber tree). The record is from RNAcentral. Lineage: Eukaryota; Viridiplantae; Streptophyta; Magnoliopsida; Malpighiales; Euphorbiaceae.